GCUUACGGCCAUACCACCCUGAACACGCCCGAUCUCGUCCGAUCUCGUCCGAUCUCGGAAGCUAAGCAGGGUCGGGCCUGGUUAGUACUUGGAUGGGAGACCGCCUGGGAAUACCAGGUGCUGUAAGCU
Molecule: ribosomal RNA, 129 nt
Filed under: Labrus bergylta (ballan wrasse)
Lineage: Eukaryota; Metazoa; Chordata; Actinopteri; Labriformes; Labridae
Source: RNAcentral